GAAGAGUUUGAUCAUGGCUCAGAUUGAACGCUGGCGGCAGGCCUAACACAUGCAAGUCGAACGGUAACAGGAAGCAGCUUGCUGCUUUGCUGACGAGUGGCGGACGGGUGAGUAAUGUCUGGGAAACUGCCUGAUGGAGGGGGAUAACUACUGGAAACGGUGGCUAAUACCGCAUAACGUCGCAAGACCAAAGAGGGGGACCUUCGGGCCUCUUGCCAUCAGAUGUGCCCAGAUGGGAUUAGCUUGUUGGUGAGGUAACGGCUCACCAAGGCGACGAUCCCUAGCUGGUCUGAGAGGAUGACCAGCCACACUGGAACUGAGACACGGUCCAGACUCCUACGGGAGGCAGCAGUGGGGAAUAUUGCACAAUGGGCGCAAGCCUGAUGCAGCCAUGCCGCGUGUAUGAAGAAGGCCUUCGGGUUGUAAAGUACUUUCAGCGGGGAGGAAGGUGUUGUGGUUAAUAACCGCAGCAAUUGACGUUACCCGCAGAAGAAGCACCGGCUAACUCCGUGCCAGCAGCCGCGGUAAUACGGAGGGUGCAAGCGUUAAUCGGAAUUACUGGGCGUAAAGCGCACGCAGGCGGUCUGUCAAGUCGGAUGUGAAAUCCCCGGGCUCAACCUGGGAACUGCAUUCGAAACUGGCAGGCUUGAGUCUUGUAGAGGGGGGUAGAAUUCCAGGUGUAGCGGUGAAAUGCGUAGAGAUCUGGAGGAAUACCGGUGGCGAAGGCGGCCCCCUGGACAAAGACUGACGCUCAGGUGCGAAAGCGUGGGGAGCAAACAGGAUUAGAUACCCUGGUAGUCCACGCCGUAAACGAUGUCUACUUGGAGGUUGUGCCCUUGAGGCGUGGCUUCCGGAGCUAACGCGUUAAGUAGACCGCCUGGGGAGUACGGCCGCAAGGUUAAAACUCAAAUGAAUUGACGGGGGCCCGCACAAGCGGUGGAGCAUGUGGUUUAAUUCGAUGCAACGCGAAGAACCUUACCUGGUCUUGACAUCCACGGAAGAAUUCAGAGAUGGAUUUGUGCCUUCGGGAACC
Molecule: ribosomal RNA, 1033 nt
Filed under: Salmonella enterica subsp. enterica serovar Poona
Lineage: Bacteria; Pseudomonadati; Pseudomonadota; Gammaproteobacteria; Enterobacterales; Enterobacteriaceae
Description: bacterial SSU rRNA
Rfam family: Bacterial small subunit ribosomal RNA
Source: RNAcentral